CGGGACGGGUGAGUAAUGUCUGGGAAACUGCCUGAUGGAGGGGGAUAACUACUGGAAACGGUAGCUAAUACCGCAUAACGUCUUCGGACCAAAGUGGGGGACCUUCGGGCCUCACGCCAUCGGAUGUGCCCAGAUGGGAUUAGCUAGUAGGUGGGGUAAUGGCUCACCUAGGCGACGAUCCCUAGCUGGUCUGAGAGGAUGACCAGCCACACUGGAACUGAGACACGGUCCAA
RNAcentral lists this ribosomal RNA (233 nucleotides) under uncultured bacterium. RNAcentral describes it as "partial 16S ribosomal RNA". It matches the Rfam family "Bacterial small subunit ribosomal RNA", at positions 100 to 334 of the family's 1533-position model. The record is from RNAcentral.